AACUUACUGCAAUGGAUCACUUGGUUCUGGCAUCGAUUAAGAACGCAGCGAAAUGCGAUAAGUAAUGUGAAUUGCAGAAUUCAGUGAAUCAUCGAAUCUUUGAACGCACAUUGCGCCCGCUGGUAUUCCGGCGGGCAUGCCUGUUCGAGCGUCAUUAUGACCAAUCAAGCUCUGCUUGGCCUUGGGGCCCGCUGUACCGGCGGCCCUUAAAACCAGUGGCGGUGCCGUCUGGCUCUAAGCGUAGUAAUACUCCUCGCUAUAGGGUUCAGCCGUCCACCCGCCAGAACUCCCAACUUUCUUAGGUUGACCUCGGAUCAGGUAGGGAUACCCGCUGAACUUAAGCAUAUCAAUAAGCGGAGGCU
This 362-nucleotide unclassified non-coding RNA is filed under the name uncultured Phialophora. RNAcentral's name for it is "sequence contains ITS2". The stretch from base 1 to 154 matches the Rfam family "5.8S ribosomal RNA". The record is from RNAcentral. Lineage: Eukaryota; Fungi; Ascomycota; Leotiomycetes.